ACAGGACUAGGAGCCGCCUCUUUAGGAUACAGCGUAUCCCAAUUUUCAGAUUUCCAAACCCAGAUGCAGAGGGCCAUUGAGGAAACGGCUCAGUCUCUAGCCGCCCUCCAACGACAAAUCACAUCUCUAGCUGGUGUCACCCUUCAAAACCGCCACGCCAUCGACCUACUCACAGCCGAAAAAGGCGAUCUAACCAAACAUUUAACCAGCUUCUCCUCAGAAACUACCAACUUUUAGCCACCAGCGAGGAUGGGACAGAUUCCACAGACGGGCUCACAACCUGCUAACCCAAGCCAGUCAUGACAACCGCCAACUGAUUCCACAAAUUUCUCAAUGAUCCCUGCGCUGACAGCUGGCUCAUCGCCAACCUGUCCCUGCCCCUCAAUUGGCUCACGGCACUGGAGGAUCUAUACCUACAAGGAACAUUACCCCAUGCACAACCCUGACAGUUCUCCCUGUGCCCCCUCCGCACAGCACCCCCCACUCAGCAGGAAGCAGCCAGAUGAACCACGACGCCCAUUUUCCCCCAUUUAAGAAAACAAAAAGGGAGGAAUGUUAGGUAACAUGGGGUACCUUAAAAUGGCGCCGUACCUUAAGAUGGGGCCGGUUCCGGGUUCUUCUCCCCUCCUUGAACGGGCACUGUCUGAACCCGCCAAAGGAGGGCCAAUCAGAAAGAAGCAUCUCCCACCUUCCCUUGGGCCCGCCCCUAGCCCAAUCCACCUAGGCCCAAGGGAUAUAAAACCCAGCACACCAGCAGCCCUCUCUCUCUUCUCUUCCUUCUCCUCUCUCUCUUCUCUUCCUUCUCCGCUCGAUACCUCCAAUAAAGAUCUCUUGACCGCGA
Molecule: long non-coding RNA, 841 nt
Organism: Symphalangus syndactylus (siamang)
Lineage: Eukaryota; Metazoa; Chordata; Mammalia; Primates; Hylobatidae
Source: RefSeq, a predicted model, not a curated record